This 663-nucleotide ribosomal RNA is filed under the name Triticum aestivum (bread wheat). RNAcentral describes it as "partial small subunit ribosomal RNA". The record is from RNAcentral. Lineage: Eukaryota; Viridiplantae; Streptophyta; Magnoliopsida; Poales; Poaceae.
AUGGGGCUUUGGACCUUUAAUCAGGCAUUAGCACGCCGAGAGCUGAUGAGGAUGAUAGUGUUGCAUGAAUUGGCAUUCUCAUUGGUGGAGUAUGAUGGAUUUAGAAGAUUUGUCUCUAGUCUAAAUCCCAGCUUCAAGAUGAUAUGUAGAAAAACAGUGAAGGAGGACUGUAUGAAAGCAUUCAAGGAAGAGAAGAGAAUUAUGUUCCAAAACUCCAAAUCCAAGAUUUCUUUGACCACGAACUUGUGGACAUCAAAUCAGAUAGUGGGGUACAUUUGCAUCACAGCUCACUUCAUUGAUGAGGAGUGGAAGCAGCAGAAGAGGAUAGUUAAAUUUGCCGCUAUGGAGACGCCGCACACAGGAGCUGCAAUGUUCAACAUCAUGGUGAAUUUCAUACGAGAGUGGAACAUUGAAGAUAAUCUCUUUGCUGUGACGCUAGACAAUGCAUCGAAUAAUGGUGCAAUGAUGAAGCUAUUGAAGGCACAUCUCCUGCUUAAGAAGAUGUUACCUGGUGGUGGCAAGUUGUUUCACCAACGUUGUGCCGCCCAUGUCAUAAAUCUGAUAUGUCAAGCAGGAUUGAACUUCUUUGGUACAAUGAUCAACAUGAUACGUGAAACUGUGAAAUACAUUCGAAGCUCACCAAGUCGAAAGGAAAAAAUUUAA